Long non-coding RNA from Choloepus didactylus (southern two-toed sloth), 308 nucleotides. RefSeq lists it as uncharacterized. NCBI's taxonomy places the organism in Eukaryota, Metazoa, Chordata, Mammalia, Pilosa, Megalonychidae. The record is from RefSeq and is a predicted model, not a curated record. The transcript has 3 exons.
CGGAGUUGACGGUUUGUUGACGGCUCUGCAGAAUUUGGACUCGUGCAUACCCACAGUUGCGAAGCAGGUUGACCAGUGAGGACAACCAGGAAAACAGGACGGUUUUUCUACCAGCACUUUCCAUGCACGUUUUCCCAGAAGACACAGAAAACAGCAGAGAUGAACUGUUACAAGGACUCGAGGAGAAAAUUGGAGGGGGCUUUUCACCACUGAAGAUGGCACUUGUCUCUGGCUUUUCUAGGAAUUUCACCAAAUGGAGCAGAGUGAUCCAGGGGAAAUGAAAGCAAUAAAUGAGAUUUUAAAAAGAA